CGACGGGUAGCGGGACUGAGAGGUUGGCCCGCAACAUUGGGACUGAGACACUGCCCGGACCUCCACGGAGGGCUGCAGUAACGAAUAUUGGGCAAUGAGCGAAAGCUUGACCCAGCGACGCCGCGUGUAGGAGGAAGUCUUUCGGGAUGUAAACUACUGUCAGGGGGACGAAAGUGCGCUUCGGUGCAUUGAUCGAACCCAGAGGAAGUCACGGCUAACUUCGUGCCAGCAGCCGCGGUAAGACGAAGGUGGCAAGCGUUGUUCGGUAUUACUGGGCUUAAAGCGUGUGUAGGCGGAAGCGUAAGCGUUUUGUGAAAUCCCUCGGCUUAACCGAGGAAUUGCUUGGCGAACUGCGUUUCUUGAGGCAGGUAGGGGUGCGCAGAACUCUUGGUGGAGCGGUGGAAUGCGUAGAUAUCAAGAGGAAUGCCGGUGGAGAAGUCGGUGCACUGGGCCUGACCUGACGCUGAGACACGAAAGCGUGGGGAGCGAACGGGAUUAGAUACCCCGGUAGUCCACGCCGUAAACGAUGCCUACUAGGUUGUGUGGUUCUGACGCCAGCACAGCCGAAGCUAAAGUGUUAAGUAGGCCGCCUGGGGAGUACGGUCGCAAGGCUAAAACUCAAAGGAAUUGACGGGGGCUCACACAAGCGGUGGAGCAUGUGGAUUAAUUCGAAUCAACGCGCAGAACCUUACCAGGGUUUGACAUGCUUGGAUGCCGCCGAGGAAACUCGGUUAGGCUGCCUUCGGGUGAAACUUGCACAGGUGCUGCAUGGCUGUCGUCAGCUCGUGUCGUGAGAUGUCGGGUUAAGUCCCUUAACGAGCGAAACCCUUGCCGCUAGUUGCCAGCGAGUCAUGUCGGGGACUCUAGCGGGACUGCCGGUGUUAAACCGGAGGAAGGUGGGGAUGACGUCAAGUCAUCAUGGCCUUUAUGCCCUGGGCUUCACACGUGCUACAAUGGUCAGAACAGAGCGACGCAAGACCGUGAGGUGGAGCAAAUCGCAAAAAUCUGGCCCCAGUUCGGAUUGCAGGCUGGCAACUCGCCUGCAUGAAGGUGGAAUCGCUAGUAAUCGCGUAUCAGCGAUGACGCGGUGAAUGUGUUCCUGAGCCUUGUACACACCGCCCGUCAAGUGAUGGGAGUUGGGAGUACCCGAAGUCGUCUUGCUAACCCCUCGGGGAGGCGGAUGCCGACGGUAAGCCCGAUGACUAGCACUAAGUCGUAACAAGGUA
This 1226-nucleotide ribosomal RNA is filed under the name metagenome. RNAcentral describes it as "bacterial SSU rRNA". It matches the Rfam family "Bacterial small subunit ribosomal RNA", at positions 277 to 1498 of the family's 1533-position model. The record is from RNAcentral.